RNAcentral lists this ribosomal RNA (468 nucleotides) under uncultured bacterium. RNAcentral describes it as "partial 16S ribosomal RNA". It matches the Rfam family "Bacterial small subunit ribosomal RNA", at positions 28 to 507 of the family's 1533-position model. The record is from RNAcentral.
GACGAACGCUGGCGGCGUGCUUAACACAUGCAAGUCGAACGGAAAGGCCCUGCUUUUGUGGGGUGCUCGAGUGGCGAACGGGUGAGUAACACGUGAGUAACCUGCCCUUGACUUUGGGAUAACUUCAGGAAACUGGGGCUAAUACCGGAUAGGAGCUCCUGCUGCAGGGGGGGGGUUGGAAAGUUUCGGCGGUUGGGGAUGGACUCGCGGCUUAUCAGCUUGUUGGUGGGGUAGUGGCUUACCAAGGCUUUGACGGGUAGCCGGCCUGAGAGGGUGACCGGCCACAUGGGUCCUGAGAUACGCCCCAGACUCCUACGGGAGGCAGCAGUGGGGAAUAUUGCACAAUGGGCGGAAGCCUGAUGCAGCAGCGCCCCGUGCGGGAUGACGGCUUUCGGGUGGUAAACCGCUUUCGCCUGUGACGAAGCGUGAGUGACGGUAACGGGUAAAGAAGCACCGGCUAACUACGUG